GAGAUCUGGACGUAUGC
RNAcentral lists this unclassified non-coding RNA (17 nucleotides) under Mus musculus (house mouse). RNAcentral's name for it is "oocyte_clustered_small_RNA12552". The record is from RNAcentral. Lineage: Eukaryota; Metazoa; Chordata; Mammalia; Rodentia; Muridae.